CAAUAGCGUAUAUUAACGUUGUUGCAGUUAAAAAGCUCGUAGUUGGAUUUCUGGAGGGAGCGUCGACCCGUAUUUACGAGUGCGUGACGUCUCUGUCCAUCCUUGCGGGAAGGCACGGCAUUGAUUUGUUGUGUCGGAUCGCAUCAUUUACUGUGAAAAAAUUAGAGUGUUCAAAGCAGGCUUUCGCUUGAAUACAUUAGCAUGGAAUAAUAAGAUAGGACUUUGUUGCUAUUUUGUUGGUUGAGCCUAAAGUAAUGAUUAAUAGGGAUAGUUGGGGGCACCUGUAUUGCGUUGUCAGAGGUGAAAUUCUUGGAUUUACGCAAGACAAACAGCUGCGAAAGCGUCUGCCAAGGAUGUUUUCAUUAA
This 366-nucleotide ribosomal RNA is filed under the name uncultured eukaryote. RNAcentral describes it as "partial 18S ribosomal RNA". It matches the Rfam family "Eukaryotic small subunit ribosomal RNA", at positions 592 to 976 of the family's 1831-position model. The record is from RNAcentral.